AUCGAUGCUAAGACAGGGAAGAGUACAAUGGCGAUUUGCCUUUUAGAGAGGAAAACCAGCAGCUGAAAGGUUAUCCAGGCAAAACUGUUGGAAGGUCGCCCUAGAGCAUCUUUUGCGAAAGGCUGCAGCCAAGUAGUAAAAGACGGGAAAUCCGUUAUCUGUUUAAGUGUCAAUCUCUAUAAGAAUGUCUUUCCCUGAUUUUCUUUAGUGAUUGAAAAAAAGGUGGUACCGCGAAGCAAACUCCAUUCGUCCUUUUA
Molecule: non-coding RNA, 257 nt
Filed under: Bacillus sp. (in: firmicutes)
Lineage: Bacteria; Bacillati; Bacillota; Bacilli; Caryophanales; Bacillaceae
Description: Bacillus sp. T-box sequence
Rfam family: T-box leader
About the family: Uncharged tRNA acts as the effector for transcription antitermination of genes in the T-box leader family.
Source: RNAcentral